Molecule: ribosomal RNA, 253 nt
Filed under: uncultured bacterium
Lineage: Bacteria
Description: partial 16S ribosomal RNA
Rfam family: Bacterial small subunit ribosomal RNA
Source: RNAcentral
UACGAAGGGGGCUAGCGUUGCUCGGAAUCACUGGGCGUAAAGCGCACGUAGGCGGCUUUUUAAGUCAGGGGUGAAAUCCUGGAGCUCAACUCCAGAACUGCCUUUGAUACUGAGAAGCUUGAGUCCGGGAGAGGUGAGUGGAACUGCGAGUGUAGAGGUGAAAUUCGUAGAUAUUCGCAAGAACACCGGUGGCGAAGGCGGCAUCCUGGACCGGUAUUGACGCUGAGGCGCGAAAGCCAGGGGAGCAAACGGG